Molecule: long non-coding RNA, 433 nt
Organism: Lepisosteus oculatus (spotted gar)
Lineage: Eukaryota; Metazoa; Chordata; Actinopteri; Semionotiformes; Lepisosteidae
Source: RefSeq, a predicted model, not a curated record
AGCUCGAAAAGUUGCAGCGCCCUCUGCAGGUCGGCGUCAGAAGACAUGAACAAAGUUAAAUCGUCCGCAUAUAGGGCUAUCUUAGCCCUUUGUCCACCACCCCCAGACCCGUCAAAGGAAUCAGGACAAGCAACAGUCGCUGUUUCGUCGUCCCAUCUGCAAUACCUCCUGAAACUUGAAGGUCUUCGGUGUACAAAGAAAGAUCAAAGAUCCUCUUACCAGGAAAGUCCUGCAAGCAAAAGAUGUCCUCAGGCUCCAACUUCAAGGCUUUGAACAGCACCUCUUCUUCAAAGGUAUCCCUUGAGUCCAGCUCCGUCUUCUCGCCUCCAGCCCGUAGCACAAAACGCACAGCAUGCCUCACUCAUCCUUCUCGUGUUCUUGAUGCUCCUUCCAUCGCAGAAAAAAAAGGCCGGAAAUCUCCGCCUCUGAAUAA